RNAcentral lists this ribosomal RNA (406 nucleotides) under uncultured bacterium. RNAcentral's name for it is "partial 16S ribosomal RNA". It matches the Rfam family "Bacterial small subunit ribosomal RNA", at positions 30 to 526 of the family's 1533-position model. The record is from RNAcentral.
AUUGAACGCUGGCGGGAGGCCUAACACAUGCAAGUCGAACGAGUGGCGGACGGGUGAGUAAUGUCUGGGAACCUGCCUGAUGGAGGGGGAUAACUACUGGAAACGGUAGCUAAUACCGCAUACCAUCGGAUGUGCCCAUAUGGGAUUAGCUAGUAGGUGGGGUAACGGCUCACCUAGGCGACGAUCCCUAGCUGGUCUGAGAGGAUGACCAGCCACACUGGAACUGAGACACGGCCCAGACUCCUACGGGAGGCAGCAGUGGGGAAUAUUGGACAAUGGGCGCAAGCCUGAUGCAGCCAUGCCGCGUGUAUGAAGAAGGCCUUCGGGUUGUAAAGUACUUUCAGCGGGGAGGCGGUACCCGCAGAAGAAGCACCGGCUAACUACGUGCCAGCAGCCGCGGUAAUAC